Long non-coding RNA from Aethalodelphis obliquidens (Pacific white-sided dolphin), 2254 nucleotides. RefSeq lists it as uncharacterized. The record is from RefSeq and is a predicted model, not a curated record. Lineage: Eukaryota; Metazoa; Chordata; Mammalia; Artiodactyla; Delphinidae. The transcript is spliced from 5 exons.
AUGGCGUCGCGGCGGCUUGGGUAGUUCCGUGGAGAGCGUGGGGAGUGGCGUGGGCCCCUGCGCGGCGUGGGCGGGGCGUGCUCCCCGCCGCUCUCCUCACCCGAACUCCCUAGCUGGGUCAACUCUGCUGGACCGGUCCGGACGACAGGCUCUGAUAGGCUUCGUCUUGCGCGGUGACCUCUUGACUGCCCGUCCCUUUAUGACAUGAUUGUGUGUAGAAGUUCCUAAGGAAUCUCCAGAACUUACGUUAGAGGUAAUGAGUGAAUUAAGAAGGCCACAGGAUGCAAGAUCCUGAAGGAAAGCACGUCUUUCUCACGGGUUCUUUUUGAGGAUUAACGGAUAAUGGGUACGGGGCCUGGCACAUCGCAGUUCGGGGCAGAAUGAGAGCACGUGUGCAUUCCGUGCACUGGAGUUUAAAUCUCGGCUCUUGCUAAGACACAAAGUGGCUAUGUGAGGUGGUUCUAUGAUUUUUUAUUAAUACUGUUUACAUGGCAAGUAAUAGAAACUGACACUGGCUUGAGAAAAGGAGAAUUUAUUGGAAAGAUACUGGAAUAUCUCGCAGAACCCAGCAACGAGCUCAGUAACCAAGGCUUGAGGAAAGGGAACAGGGAAGCACUGAGGUCCUGGCAGCAGGGGGACAGUAACAUCUGCUGUGUAAGUCUCCAGAUUCUCAGCCCCAAAUUACACAUUCCUGGCACGAAAUCUGAUGGCCCGGUUUGACUGUGGCAUGGGGGUAGGGUCACUUAACACAGACAUGACUGUUGGACAGUGUUCAGAGCAGGCAGACUUGCAGCAGGUCAGCCUCUUUAAGUGGUGUCUACUCCAGUUUCCUAUGUGGGCUAUCUUGGUUACAUCUUUUGUAUCAAAACUAUCGAAAUAUGAAAUGUUCUCUCAGCACUUCCCUUGGCCAUCUCCCACAUUUGUGCAUCCAGGACAUCUGUACUCUAAGGAAAGGCAUGUGAUAGCUAAAAAGAGAAAAACUGGAUUAUUUUAGAAGGAGUGUUCUUAUGAGAUGGUAAGGAGAUUAUUAACCCAAGCCUUCUCUACCAAGAUUAUUCCCUGACUUGGGGAAGGGUAUAACGUUAGAAGGGAAACUGUGAGAAUGAAAAUACCAUUAGAUCUCAGCAAGAGUGAGCGGGCAUGCUGCUCCCCAGACCAAGCCCCAGGCGGGUGACAGAAACCCCGCCUGAUUUGUGGAGCUGAGACACUCAGGGGUUCCUGGAGAGACAGUGAGACCCGCAGAAGAAAGGAAUAAUUCCCAAGCACGUAGGAGCAGCGUGGAGUGGCAGACAGCCACCGAACCCAAGAGUUCAUGAAGAUGGGGAAGACAAACGACCCCACACGCAAUCAGCUGCCUGUAUCACGGGUCAGAUGGGGGGAUGGACACGCCAGCAGAUGCCUGGAAUGCAGCAGAAGGUGCACAGAUGAAUGAAUGAAUGAGUGACACUGUGGCAGUUGGUAAACUCCCUAGAAUUUAGACACAAUCCUGGUGAAAUUUUAGGUUAAAAUUCUUCCAUCCUGAGUUGGAAAAGGAAAACAAAAACAAAGAAAAUUUACAUUUCUGCAAUGACUGAGGUUGUAAACUGAUAUAUCUGCAACAUUUACUUACUAAAACUGAACUGCAUGCAAUUGUAACUUUUUCUGUGCUGGGGGACUUUUUAUAUGGGCUUGGGUUCAUUUAUUUCUUGAAAGUUUGAGAGCCUCCACCAUCAAUCCUAGUUGUACACAUACAAAUGUAGCUUUUGUGGAAAUGGACAAAAUUUUGACAUUUUUGACAGUGGUUGUUUUCUGAAGAAAUGAAAUUAUUUACUCUUCCCUCUUGCUGUGUCAGUAUCUUAAAAUACAUUUCCCUUUGUUAAAAAGUGAUGUAUCCAUUUGUAUACGAUUUAAAAAAUUCAAGUCAAGCAGAGGGAAGACAAAUUAUCCAUAAUUUCACUACUCAGAGAAAAAAUACUGUUAAGAAAUUGGUGUCUAUUUAUUUAUAAUUCUUAAUAUAUAAUACUUUACAUUUUAAUCAACUUUAUUUUCCAUUUCUUUUAAACAUUUAAAUUCAUUAUAAUUGUGUAGUAUUUACUUAUAAUUUUAUUUUAAAAUAUUUUAUAAUGUUAUUCUUUUUAUUAUUUUAAUGCUUGCUCAUUGUAAAGGAUUUGGGAAACAUACUAAAAUAUAAAUAAUACGAUAAAAACCAUCACACAACUUUUAACAUUUUGGUGUUUUUUCCUUUCAAAUCUUCGUGUGUAUACACAAGCACACA